Molecule: ribosomal RNA, 496 nt
Filed under: uncultured bacterium
Lineage: Bacteria
Description: partial 16S ribosomal RNA
Rfam family: Bacterial small subunit ribosomal RNA
Source: RNAcentral
GAUGAACGCUGGCGGCGUGCCUAAUACAUGCAAGUCGAGCGAACGGACGAGAAGCUUGCUUCUCUGAUGUUAGCGGCGGACGGGUGAGUAACACGUGGAUAACCUACCUAUAAGACUGGGAUAACUUCGGGAAACCGUAGCUAAUACCGGAUAAUAUUUUGAACCGCAUGGUUCAAAAGUGAAAGACGGUCUUGCUGUCACUUAUAGAUGGAUCCGCGCUGCAUUAGCUAGUUGGUAAGGUAACGGCUUACCAAGGCAACGAUGCAUAGCCGACCUGAGAGGGUGAUCGGCCACACUGGAACUGAGACACGGCCCAGACUCCUACGGGAGGCAGGAGUAGGGAAUCUGCCGGAAGGGGCGAAAGCCUGACGGGGAAACGCCGCGGGAGGGAUGAAGGUCUUUGGAUCGUAAAACUCUUUUAUUAGGGAAGAAAAUAUGUGUAAGUAACUGUGAAAAUCUUGACGGUACCAAAUCAAAAAGCCGCGGCUAACUACGG